ACACAGAGAGAGACGGAGGUGCACGAGACCAUCGCUGAUUUUCACCGCCAAGCUUGUUGCUGGAAAAUAACUAUUAAUUUGAUAAAUUGAGCAAAUAUCCAUACCGGAGAUCUGCAUGGACCUUGGAGAAACGGACCUGAUUUGUUGUGAACAUUUUGGACUUUGAAACCAUCUCAGUGAGUCGGAGGCUGUUAAGCUAACCUUGAAGCUAAAAAGCUAACAUGAAGUUAACGGAGAAUAUAAUGGCCCAAUUUCAACGUUGUAGAUCUGCACGGGUGCGGAUGAAGCGGACAAGAUCCUCUCUGAGAGUUGAACAUUAGAAGUGUGCUGGCUAGGUUUUUUCGUGGGAUCGUGAGACCUGGAUUUCUUCCUGACGAGGAAGAUGCCGAGCCUUUCCCUUUGAACCGAACCACAGCCAUUCCGAGUUGGCCCAGAAGGGCAGGUUGCUCUUCUUUCACGAACAAUUGCAACAGUGCGGUAGGACGAAAUCGCACCAGUCACAGACUUUUGACCUAUUGGAUUUGACUUGACUGAAUACUCACUAUUAAGCCGGCAAGACUGACAUAUCUGAGCUCAGAUAGGAUUCUGAUUGUUAUUAUUAAUGCUGUCACUGUACUUUAUUUUAUGUUUUCAUUCCUGUUUAUGAAGUGCUGUUAAAUUGUUUCUAAAUAGUUUAAUACAAUUCAAAGCAACUUUACCUGUGGCUCCACUCAUUCUUCUCCACGCAACUCACUUUAUCCCUCCUACGAAUCUAGCUAUUGGCCCAUUCUCUCCAUCUUGCUUUAACUUCCCCUACCCUAUCCUGUACUUGGCUACAUUGUCAUGUCAUGAUUGUCACACAUCUAAAAUAGC
Molecule: long non-coding RNA, 852 nt
Organism: Oreochromis aureus
Lineage: Eukaryota; Metazoa; Chordata; Actinopteri; Cichliformes; Cichlidae
Source: Ensembl